ACGGAAGGCAGCAGUGGGGAAUAUUGCACAAUGGGCGAAAGUCUGAUGCAGCGACGCCGCGUGAGUGAAGAAGUAUCUCGGUAUGUAAAGCUCUAUCAGCAGGGAAGAAAAUGACGGUACCUGACUAAGAAGCCCCGGCUAACUACGUGCCAGCAGCCGCGGUAAUACGUAGGGGGCAAGCGUUAUCCGGAUUUACUGGGUGUAAAGGGAGCGUAGACGGUUUGGCAAGUCUGAAGUGAAAUGCGGGGGCUCAACUCCUGAACUGCUUUGGAAACUGUCGAACUAGAGUGCAGGAGAGGUAAGUGGAAUUCCUAGUGUAGCGGUGAAAUGCGUAGAUAUUAGGAGGAACACCAGUGGCGAAGGCGGCUUACUGGACUGUAACUGACGUUGAGGCUCGAAAGCGUGGGGAGCAAACAGGAUUAGAUACCCUGGUA
This 434-nucleotide ribosomal RNA is filed under the name uncultured Lachnospiraceae bacterium. RNAcentral's name for it is "partial 16S ribosomal RNA". It matches the Rfam family "Bacterial small subunit ribosomal RNA", at positions 341 to 792 of the family's 1533-position model. The record is from RNAcentral. Lineage: Bacteria; Bacillati; Bacillota; Clostridia; Lachnospirales; Lachnospiraceae.